This 91-nucleotide ribosomal RNA is filed under the name Panthera tigris altaica (Amur tiger). The record is from RNAcentral. Lineage: Eukaryota; Metazoa; Chordata; Mammalia; Carnivora; Felidae.
GUCUACGGUCAUACCACUCUAAACGCACCCAACUGCAUCUCAUCCCAGAAGCUAAACAGGGCGGGCCUGGUUAGUACUCGGAUGGGAGAUU